AAACAAAGGGAUGUUGUGUUUGGGCUGGCUGCGAUAGGGCCUGACUGUGAUAGGACGGGAUGGGUGAGUGGAAAUACAGGCGACCUAAUUGGACGCUGCCUGAAACAGCACACAGUUGGACCGCUGCGCCGCUCGUGAUGUCAGCUUGGCUGCGACGGCGUUGUUUCAUUUAGCGCUAAUGCCGGAAAAAUACAAGUGUAACCAAUGUUCCCCCCUCAGCUGCAACCAGUCGUGUGCCGUCUAUGAUUCAGCGCUCGCAAAAUGACUCUUUGCUAACUGAAUACCGGGAAACAACCAUCGUCCUCCACCCUCGCACACUUGAAGCGAGGUGUAAACAGGCCCGAGGAUGGACCCAGCCAAACAGAUGGAUGCUCUCGCGGUGCAGAUGCGAGGAAAGAAGGAAAACAUCGUGCAAGUAUGCGUGCAGCCAGUCAUUUCCUGAGAGGAGGAAGAGGGGGAAGGAGCAGCGUGUGUGUCAGCUCUCCCAGGAAGCCUGCUAAUGUGGGAAAGACACAAAACUUCAACCAAAGCCUUCGUGCCAUCAGCUGAACCCUCUCCCAGCGCGGCCC
This 569-nucleotide long non-coding RNA is filed under the name Betta splendens (Siamese fighting fish). RNAcentral describes it as "lncRNA (ENSBSLG00000000413.1)". Lineage: Eukaryota; Metazoa; Chordata; Actinopteri; Anabantiformes; Osphronemidae. The record is from RNAcentral.